RNAcentral lists this ribosomal RNA (253 nucleotides) under uncultured bacterium. RNAcentral's name for it is "partial 16S ribosomal RNA". It matches the Rfam family "Bacterial small subunit ribosomal RNA", at positions 524 to 776 of the family's 1533-position model. The record is from RNAcentral.
UACGUAGGGUGCAAGCGUUGUCCGGAAUUAUUGGGCGUAAAGAGCUCGUAGGCGGUUUGUCGCGUCUGCUGUGAAAACUCGGGGCUUAACUCCGGGCCUGCAGUGGGUACGGGCAGACUAGAGUGCGGUAGGGGAGACUGGAAUUCCUGGUGUAGCGGUGAAAUGCGUAGAGAUCAGGAGGAACACCCGUGGCGAAGGCGGCCCUCUGGCUCGACCCUGACGCUGAGGCGCGAAAGCGUGGGGAGCGAACGGG